UUGAACGCUGGCGGCAGGCUUAACACAUGCAAGUCGAGCGGGGAGAUGUAGCUUGCUACAUAUCCUAGCGGCGGACGGGUGAGUAAUGCUUAGGAAUCUGCCUAUUAGUGGGGGACAACAUUCCGAAAGGAAUGCUAAUACCGCAUACGCCCUACGGGGGAAAGCAGGGGAUCUUCGGACCUUGCGCUAAUAGAUGAGCCUAAGUCGGAUUAGCUAGUUGGUGGGGUAAAGGCCUACCAAGGCGACGAUCUGUAGCGGGUCUGAGAGGAUGAUCCGCCACACUGGGACUGAGACACGGCCCAGACUCCUACGGGAGGCAGCAGUGGGGAAUAUUGGACAAUGGGCGCAAGCCUGAUCCAGCCAUGCCGCGUGUGUGAAGAAGGCCUUUUGGUUGUAAAGCACUUUAAGCGAGGAGGAGGCUCCUUUAGUUAAUACCUAAAGAGAGUGGACGUUACUCGCAGAAUAAGCACCGGCUAACUCUGUG
RNAcentral lists this ribosomal RNA (484 nucleotides) under uncultured bacterium. RNAcentral's name for it is "partial 16S ribosomal RNA". It matches the Rfam family "Bacterial small subunit ribosomal RNA", at positions 30 to 507 of the family's 1533-position model. The record is from RNAcentral.